UGGGGAAUUUUGCGCAAUGCUCGUAAGAGUGACGCAGCGACGCCGCGUGAAUGACGAAGGCCUUCGGGUCGUAAAGUUCUUUCGACAGGGAAGAAAAUGCCUAUAAGUAACUGUGUAUGUAUUGACGGUACCUGUAUAAGCAGCCCCGGCUAACUCCGUGCCAGCAGCCGCGGUAAUACGGAGGGGGCGAGCGUUGUUCGGAGUGACUGGGCGUAAAGAGCACGUAGGCGGUGUUGUAAGUCAUUAGUCAAAGACUAGAGCUCAACUUUAGUAAGGCUAGUGAUACUAUAAUACUAGAGUAUCAGAGAGGAUUGCAGAAUUCCUGGUGUAGCGGUGAAAUGCGUAGAUAUCAGGAGGAAUACCGUUAGCGAAGGCGGCAAUCUGGCUGGAAACUGACGCUGAGGUGCGAAAGCGUGGGUAGCAAACAGG
Molecule: ribosomal RNA, 429 nt
Filed under: uncultured bacterium
Lineage: Bacteria
Also listed under: 1 other name
Description: bacterial SSU rRNA
Rfam family: Bacterial small subunit ribosomal RNA
Source: RNAcentral